CCAGGUAUUACAAUUUUUGGACUACUUUUUAUAGCUCAAGUGAGUGAAAUUCCAUCUUGGGGCCUUUUUUUGGAUUUGGAUCAAUGUUUUUGAUUAAAGGCCAGAAUGUGAUGCUUGCUUUGCUAAGCAUGCUAUCUACAUAGUUUAUUCAAUGUUUGGCUUAAAACCUCAGGUAGUUAAUAGUUGAAGUUUUUAAUUUCAAACCAUGUGACGUGUGUGAAAUAUGCCCAAAUUCAUAAUUAACGAACUAAUGUUGACUGUGAUAAUCAGGGAAUAGUGA
Molecule: long non-coding RNA, 280 nt
Filed under: Coffea arabica (coffee)
Lineage: Eukaryota; Viridiplantae; Streptophyta; Magnoliopsida; Gentianales; Rubiaceae
Description: long non-coding RNA (CARA_LNC006809)
Source: RNAcentral